Molecule: long non-coding RNA, 1474 nt
Filed under: Coffea arabica (coffee)
Lineage: Eukaryota; Viridiplantae; Streptophyta; Magnoliopsida; Gentianales; Rubiaceae
Description: long non-coding RNA (CARA_LNC005306)
Source: RNAcentral
UAGUCUUUUUAUUACUCACUUUUAGAAUGAUUCAUUUUGAUCCCUUGCAUAAGGGAUUUCACGCUUUUUCAGUCCACACUUUUACUAUGGUAUUUUUUGACCCUUCACAUAUCCAAAAUGUCCUAUUUUUGUCCCAAUUCUCAUUUUUAGCUACAUUUUUACUUUUGAUUCUAACUUUGACAAAGGUUUUCAUCAAUGUGGUAAUGUGGUAUACAAGCCUUCAGUGACCUUGUUUACAGAUCUGCCCGGCAGAGGACCUAUCUUUCUCGUGACAACUGAAUAGCUUCUUGAUCUUGUGUAGAUUCAUCAGCCCAGAGAAGCUGGUGGGACAUGAGAACGAGUUCCUGAUUUUCUUACUUCUUCAAGCAGCUCCCACCUCUGCCCAUCUUGCAAAUGAUCCCACUGCGUGCAGUUUACAACUUCUGCCAUUUUUGGACGGUCUUCUGGUGUUGAGUUUCGGUGCAAAGCACUGCAACCUGAAGAAUUGUCUCAAGGAACACAUAUUUCCAGAACAGUAGCAAGGAGAGUUACUCAGCUUUGCUACUGAGACCAUCCGGAGUAGGAAUAGACACAUGGAGCGUUCCUGAACAGUAUUCUGAUCUUACAUUUCAUCUAUAUGCCUACUUGAGUUUUUCUAAUCUCUUUAACACCUGACAAAGCUUUGAGCAAUUUAAAUGAGAGAAAAAUACCUUAGAGCCAGAGACAUAAACCCUCAGAAUUGCUUUGCGCUUAGCUUAAUAAGUUUCUGCCAAAAAAAAAAAAAAACAAUUUUCGAUGGACAUUUUUGGUGCUAAACUAGAGUGUUAUGUGUAGUAGUCCUUUCCAAAUAACCAACAGUGUACAAAUAUUUAUAGUUUUUGUCAAUUACUAAUACAAGAAUUUACAAAGAACUACAGCAGUGAGAAACAUGAUUCAUUAGAGUGCUAGGCUAACGCUCUCCUUUACAAUGAACUACUGCACUGUUGAACAUGAUUUGUAAGAUUGCCACACUAAACAUUCGAACCACUCUCCAGUUAAUGCAGGAGGCAGAAUCAAAUGCAUCCAGGGUGCAAACCAGAGGUGCUGAAUUGUUUGAACACGAUGUCUAUUCCCCAGAAGUAGAAGAUCAAGGUCAAAAUGAUUUCUGAACUCACAGUUGCCAGAGAAACAAACUUUUAAUGGCAUAGGAUAUUUGGAGCCAGAGCUACGUACAGCCAAAAAGGACAUGAAUCCCAAGGAUGUAUAAGGUGAUACUUUAGGAGAACUAAAACCCGAAAGGAAGAAAGUUAGCAGCAAUGGGAUUGAGUAAAGCAAAAGUAGGAAAUCCAAUCCUAAAAGUUUUGAAGCAACUCAGAUCCCACAUUAGAGCUCUCAGUUUAGAAUCUACUAGCUCACUGCACAUGGUAAUUUUUCAAGAAAACCCUAUCAAGAAGAAAAUUACACAGUUAGGAAGGAGGUGGCGGUGAAUUUGGUGGUAGUAUUGAAGGUAAAUCAU